CCCUUAGAUGUUCUGGGCCGCACGCGUGCUACACUGACCGGCGCAACAAGUUUCUUUCCUUGGCUCGAUAGGCCUGGGUAAUCUUUGAACGCCGGUCGUGAUGGGGAUAGAUCCUUGCAAUUUUUGAUCUUCAACGAGGAAUUCCUAGUAAAUGCGAGUCAUCAUCUCGCGUUGAUUACGUCCCUGCCCUUUGUACACACCGCCCGUCGCACCUACCGAUUGAAUGGUCCGGUGAAGGCUUCGGAGGCGGCUUUCUCAAUGUUUAUUCGGCGAGACUGCUGCCAAAGUUGAAUGAACCUUACCAUUUAGAGGAAGGUGAAGUCGUAACA
Molecule: ribosomal RNA, 329 nt
Filed under: uncultured eukaryote
Lineage: Eukaryota
Description: partial 18S ribosomal RNA
Rfam family: Eukaryotic small subunit ribosomal RNA
Source: RNAcentral